This 72-nucleotide transfer RNA is filed under the name Periweissella ghanensis. RNAcentral describes it as "tRNA-Asn". It matches the Rfam family "tRNA". Rfam says of the family: Transfer RNA (tRNA) molecules are approximately 80 nucleotides in length. Their secondary structure includes four short double-helical elements and three loops (D, anti-codon, and T loops). Further hydrogen bonds mediate the characteristic L-shaped molecular structure. tRNAs have two regions of fundamental functional importance: the anti-codon, which is responsible for specific mRNA codon recognition, and the 3' end, to which the tRNAs corresponding amino acid is attached (by aminoacyl-tRNA synthetases). tRNAs cope with the degeneracy of the genetic code in two manners: having more than one tRNA (with a specific anti-codon) for a particular amino acid; and 'wobble' base-pairing, i.e. permitting non-standard base-pairing at the 3rd anti-codon position. Lineage: Bacteria; Bacillati; Bacillota; Bacilli; Lactobacillales; Lactobacillaceae. RNAcentral also lists the same sequence under 2 other names. The record is from RNAcentral.
UGUCCAGUGGCACAAUGGUACUGCGUUCGACUGUUAAUCGAAAGAGUGUUGGUUCGAUUCCAACCUGGACAG